CUUGACCUCAUUUACAUUGUUCAUUAGUAAAAGUUAAGUUUUUGUGGAUCAGUUUGUUUUUUCUCAUCCUGUUGCAAAAAAGUUAACUGUUUUGGUGUAUGGAAUGAUUGUAUGGUGUACAUGUCCGACUGGCAAGACUUGAUUUUAUUGUUAUAUUGAUCCUCAUUAGGUUUUCAUUUAUUAGUUUGUUUCUCUGAUAAAAGCAGUAGGUUAUCUAAUGUGGUAUGAAAUGAUUAUAAGGUGUUGGUUGUCUGGCAUAUCUCAUCUGACCUCAUUUACAUUGAUCAUUGAUGUAUAAAGUUUAUGUUAAUUAUACUUUUAUUUAAACCCUUUCAAAAUUUACAAAAGACUAUCAAGUUUGUGAAAUCAACUCUUCCCUCAAUCCAGAUCUUUUAAACCUCACAGAAAGAAAGAAUAUAACAACAUUUAAGUUGCAACCAGCCAUGAUAUAAAAGCUUGUAAUAAUUUUUCUUAACCUGUAUCUUUUGAAUUUCAGAGAGUUCGUAUAAAACCUAUUGUCCAUCGUAGUUCUUUAAAGAUAUAUCCCACUUCAAUGUUCAGUUAAGACCUUUCUACAUUGUUAAAGAAACAUUAUGUAUGCAACUCAGUCAUCUGAGUCUGUCAUAUAUAUUUUUUUUUAAAUAUCAUACUUUAUUAUAAAUAUAAAAGUAAGAAGAUGCGGUAUGGUUGCCAAUGAAUCAACUCUCUACCAGAGCCUAAAUGAAAUAGAAAUUAGCUAUUUAGUAUAGACUAAAGGUCACUGCAGGGCCUCAAUUAUACACAAAAUUUGUGCUACAUAUCAAGCUUGUAAGAGCCCUGAAAUGACAAUGAAAAAAAACCUACCCAGAAAACUAACAGCCUGAUUAUGUUGAAAAAAAACACCAGAAAAACAGAUAUGUUAUACAGCAAACAACCAACUAAUUACAGGCUCCUAUCUUGACACAUAUAGAAUUUAGUGUAGAUGAACAUGUUUGCAGAAACCCAACCCUCUCUAACCUUAGACCCAGGUGUUACAGCACAACAUAUUAAAGAACAGACAUACAAAAUAGUUGAAAAUGGAUUAACUUGUCAGAUCCAUACAGCAUAAAGCAAAUCAAUCAAAGAAGAAAUAAAUCACUAAAUAUAAUUGUAGGGAAUGGUAUGUUUAUUGGCAAUAGCAUAUUUUUAUAGGAAAAAAAUGUCAUAAAACAUAAAAAAGACUAGGUUGAUUAUAUAAAAAAAAACAUGAUAUGCAUUAUGGUAUUGUAAAGCCCCUUUAAUAUUGGCUGAAUAUGCGAGAGAUGUGUUGGUUUUAUUCUAUAUGACAGCAACCUAAUGAUUCAAAUAUUCUAAAGACAUUUAUACCUUGUAAAAUUAUUUAAAGUUUGGGAAACUGCACGAGAAGUGUUUUCUUUUCUCUUGAUAAUAGCAACAAAGACAGUGGGGGAGGGGGUCUGGUGGUUGGGCCCCCCUUUUAAAAUUGUCUGGAUCCGCCCCUGAAAGAUGAAUUGAUAAUUUCCUUUAUUAAACUCUUCAAAAACAACAAUAAGAAAAACUUUCUACCAGCAACUAAAUAAGUUUAAAGUAAUCAACUAAGCAAUCUUUAUUGACCCUUCAAAUUAUAGACUACCAUAUUUUAUGCUCUGGGCCUCUGUGUUGGUAUUAUCAAGAUAAAGACUACACUUUCCAUCUAGGUGUUCAAACUGACCCAACAAAUAUUAUUUACAUGAGCAUUACUGACGUGUUUAGUUAAAUUAAGAGGCCCAACACAAAAUUUAUUAGCCUGGGCUACUGUUUUUUCCCUGUAGCAAGAAAACCUGUCAAACAGCAAACACAUUCUUAAUUCUGUUUGUAAAUCAAAGAUUAUCUCCCUUUCGUGAAUCUGAAUUUUUAACCGACAUUCUAAAACAUAAUUUUAUCUCUGAAGAGUUAAGUUUAAUUUUAAAAUCAACAAGCGUACCUUGAUUUUUUUUCUAAUACUCUUGGGGUCACAUAUUUGCAUGAAUGAAAAAGGUUAAUCAUUGCUACCUGCAUAUAGGUAGAAAACCCUUAUCUUGCACAACAAUGUUCUAAUUGUUCCUUAAAUAUUUGCUGAUUUCUUUGUAUCCGAAACAAGUAUCCUGAUUCAACAAUGCUGGAAUUUGCUGGAAGAUCAAGACUGGAUGUCGAGAAAGACAGAAGAUCAUCUAACGAAGUGAAAAUGGGUUGAUGUUUCCAUCGAAGGUUGGUGAUGACUGCCAUUUCCAUGACACUUUUAAUCAAAGAGACCGUCCUGUCUCAAGUUAAGAUUUGUGAUCCAUCAUGAAGACCAUUUUGUCUGAGAUGCACACAGACUGCAGUAUGUCACUUGCUUCAGACUUUUGACCUAGUGUGAUGGUUUACAAUUACAUGAAAUGUUUCCCAGAUGUUUUCAUUAUGACAGUGUUAAUGGAAGACUGGCACAUUGUAAUAAGAGUUAAUUUCAAUCAGAUGUAUAGUUCAGGUAAAUGAUAAAUAUUAUACUGAAUAAAUAUCAAAUUGAUGGUUAUAACUGAAUUACAUUCUUUUGGGUUUUGUUUUCAAAAUGAAAAGAAAGAAUUUAUAUAUAUAUCAAAAUGGCAUAUUUUAAUUGCCAGAUAAAUGCCAUAUUUAUCCAACCAUUUGUUUUUAUUUCAUUACACAAUUUGUUUACUUUCAUAAUACAUAUGAAUUUA
Long non-coding RNA from Mytilus trossulus (common blue mussel), 2672 nucleotides. RefSeq lists it as uncharacterized. The transcript has 4 exons. The record is from RefSeq and is a predicted model, not a curated record. Lineage: Eukaryota; Metazoa; Mollusca; Bivalvia; Mytilida; Mytilidae.